This 497-nucleotide ribosomal RNA is filed under the name uncultured bacterium. Its description in RNAcentral is "partial 16S ribosomal RNA". It matches the Rfam family "Bacterial small subunit ribosomal RNA", at positions 28 to 507 of the family's 1533-position model. The record is from RNAcentral.
GAUGAACGCUGGCGGCGUGCCUAAUACAUGCAAGUCGAGCGAACAGACGAGGAGCUUGCUCCUCUGACGUUAGCGGCGGACGGGUGAGUAACACGUGGAUAACCUACCUAUAAGACUGGGAUAACUUCGGGAAACCGGCGCUAAUACCGGAUAAUAUAUUGAACCGCAUGGUUCAAUCGUGAAAGACGGUUUUGCUGUCACUUAUAGAUGGCUCCGCGCCGCAUUAGCUAGUUGGUAAGGUAACGGCUUACCAAGGCUACGAUGGGUAGCCGACCUGAGAGGGUGAACGGCCACACGGUAACAGAGACACGGCCCAGACUCCUAGGGGAGGCAGCAGUAGGGAAUCUUCCGCAAUGGGCGAAAGCCGGACGGAGCAACGCGGCGUGAGUGAUGAAGGUGUUCGGAUCGGAAAACUCUGUUAUUAGGGAAGAACAAAUGUGUAAUUAACUAGGCACAUCUUGACGGUACCUAGUCAGAAAGCCACGGCUAACUACGUG